RNAcentral lists this ribosomal RNA (364 nucleotides) under uncultured bacterium. RNAcentral describes it as "bacterial SSU rRNA". It matches the Rfam family "Bacterial small subunit ribosomal RNA", at positions 29 to 417 of the family's 1533-position model. The record is from RNAcentral.
AGCGAACGCUGGCGGCAGGCCUAAAACAUGCAAGUCGAACGCCCGUAGCAAUACGGGAGUGGCAGACGGGUGAGUAACACGUGGGAACGUGCCCUUUGGUUCGGAACAACACAGGGAAACUUGUGCUAAUACCGGAUAAGCCCUUACGGGGAAAGAUUUAUCGCCAGAGGAUCGGCCCGCGUCUGAUUAGCUAAGUUGGUGAGGUAACGGCUCACCAAGGCUACGAUCAGUAGCUGGUCUGAGAGGAUGAUCAGCCACACUGGGACUGAGACACGGCCCAGACUCCUACGGGAGGCAGCAGUUAGGAAUCUUGGACAAUGGGCGCAAGCCUGAUCCAGCCAUGCCGCGUGAGUGAUGAAAGGCC